RNAcentral lists this ribosomal RNA (1492 nucleotides) under bacterium THCL1. RNAcentral's name for it is "partial 16S ribosomal RNA". It matches the Rfam family "Bacterial small subunit ribosomal RNA". The record is from RNAcentral.
AAGAUCGCGCUAUCUGCAGUCCACGGAUGUAUUAAGAGCUUGCUCUUAUAAAGUGGGCGGCGGAUGAGUGAUUAACACGUGUGUAACCUUCUCAUGGGAAUAGCAUAACUCCGAGGAAAGCGGAGCCUAUACCGGAUCAUAUUUUGAACUGCAUAGUUCUUAAUUCAAUGGCGGCUUCGGUUGUCCCAUAUGGAUGGACCCACGUCGCAUUAUAUAGUUUCUGAGGUACCACCUCACCAAGGUGACGAUACAUAACCAACCUGCACAGGGUGAUCGGACACACUGGGACUGAUACACCGGCCAGACUCCUACGGGAGGUAUCAACAGGGAAUCUUCCGCAAUGCACGAAAUUCUGACGGAGCAACGCCGCUUGACUGAUUAAGGCUUUCGGUCCAUAAACCCCUGUUGUUAUGAAAGAACAAGUGCUAGUUGAAUAAUCUGGAACCUUGACGGUACCUAAAACAAAAAGCCACGGCUAACUAAGUGCCAACAAGCGUGAAAACACUUAUCGGACCCGCUGUAUCCCAAAAUUAUCGUGCGUCAAAGCGAGCAACAUGGAUUUUCUAACCCCUGAAGUGAAAAUCCCCACCUUUUAGCCCCACCUAGGUUCCCUUCCAAACUUGGUAAAACUUGCGUGCAAAAAAAACGAAAGUUGGCAAUUCCAAGGCGUUCACCUUUUAAAAUCAGGAGGGAACCCCAGUGGGGAAGGGGGCCUUUUGGGUCGGUAACUGCCCAUGGAGGGGGGAAAGCGGGGGGAGCAACCAGGGUUAGAUACCGUGUUGGUCCACGCCGUAAACGAUGAGUGUAAAUGGUUGGAGGGUUUCGCCCCUUUGGUGGUGAAGUUAAGGCAUUAAUCACUCGCCUGGGGGAGUACGGCCGCAGGGUUAAAAUUCAAGGGAAUGGAGGGGGGGCCCGCACAAGCGGUGGAGCAUGUGGUUUAAUUGGAAGCAACGCGAAGACCUUUACCAGGUCUGGACAUCCUCUGAAAACUCUAGAGAUAGAGCUUCUCUUUCGGGAGCAGAGUGCCAGGUGGUGCAUGGUUGUCGUCAGCUCGUGUCGUGAGAUGUUGGGUUAAGUCCCGCAAGGAGCGCAACCCUUGAUUUUAGUUGCCAUCAGUAAGUUGGGCCCUUUAAGGUGACUGCCGGUGGCAAACCGGAGGAAGGGGGGGAUGACGUCAAAUUAUCAUGCCCCUUAUGACCUGGGCUACACACGUGCUACAAUGGAUGGUACAAAGAGGUGCACGACCGCGAGGUGGAGGUAAUUUCAUAAAACCGUUUUCAGUUCGGAUUGUCGGUUGCAACUUGCCUACAUGAAGCUGGGAUUGGUAGUAAUUGCGGAUCAGCAUUGCGGGGGGAAAACGUUUCCGGGCCUUGUACCCCCCGCCCGUCCCCCCCAGGGAAUUUGUAACCCCCGAAGUCGGUGGGGUUAACCUUAGGGAGCCAGCCGCCCAACGGUGGACACAUAUUGGGGGAAGUCUANCAUGAGCAGCUAA